CCUACGGGACGCAGCAGUGGGGAAUAUUGCACAAUGGGGGGAACCCUGAUGCAGCGACGCCGCGUGGGCGAGGAAGUAUUUCGGUAUGUAAAGCCCUAUCGGCAGGGAAGAAGAAAUGACGGUACCUGAAUAAGAAGCACCGGCUAAAUACGUGCCAGCAGCCGCGGUAAUACGUAGGGGGCAAGCGUUAUCCGGAUUUACUGGGUGUAAAGGGAGCGUAGACGGCAGUGCAAGUCUGAAGUGAAAGGCAAGGGCGCAACCCUUGGACUGCUUUGGAAACUGUGCUGCUGGAGUGUCGGAGAGGG
Molecule: ribosomal RNA, 305 nt
Filed under: uncultured bacterium
Lineage: Bacteria
Description: bacterial SSU rRNA
Rfam family: Bacterial small subunit ribosomal RNA
Source: RNAcentral